This 378-nucleotide ribosomal RNA is filed under the name Triticum aestivum (bread wheat). RNAcentral describes it as "partial small subunit ribosomal RNA". The record is from RNAcentral. Lineage: Eukaryota; Viridiplantae; Streptophyta; Magnoliopsida; Poales; Poaceae.
AUGUACCAAGCUAACCAACCACCGCCGCCGGCACCGACACCACCACCACCUAGUCCUUCAGCAACAACGUCACCACCUGGUCCCCCUACUGGUACUAAUGGAUGGGUGCAAGUUCAUAACUUCCGUGACACUUUGUACUGGCAAAUCGCACGCUUUGCGGUAUUAAUGCACAAGUUGGUAUACAAGAAGGAGAUGACCCUUGUCGAUGUGUUGUAUGUGAGCAUGCAGCCUUCGGGAAUUGGCAACAACUACUUUCUUGAGAUAAAAGCUGCAGAUGAGAAUAAUAAGGUCGGCAGGUAUCAAGUGCUUGUAUGGGGUGUGCCUGGGUCAACAGCUCAGCCAUGGAAAGUACUGUCGUUUAAAUUUAUAGGAUACUAA